This 429-nucleotide ribosomal RNA is filed under the name Pseudomonadota bacterium. Its description in RNAcentral is "Proteobacteria bacterium partial 16S ribosomal RNA". It matches the Rfam family "Bacterial small subunit ribosomal RNA", at positions 355 to 776 of the family's 1533-position model. Lineage: Bacteria; Pseudomonadati; Pseudomonadota. The record is from RNAcentral.
UGGGGAUUAUUGGACAAUGGGCGAAAGCCUGAUCCAGCCAUGCCGCGUGUGUGAAGAAGGUCUUCGGAUUGUAAAGCACUUUAAGUUGGGUGGAAGGGCAGUAAGCGAAUACCUUGCUGUUUUGACGUUACCGACAGAAUAAGCACCGGCUAACUCUGUGCCAGCAGCCGCGGUAAUACAGAGGGUGCAAGCGGUAAUCGGAAUUACUGGGCGUAAAGCGCGCGUAGGUGGUUCGUUAAGUUGAAUGUGAAAGCCCCGGGCUCAACCUGGGAACUGCAUCCAAAACUGGCGAGCUAGAGUAGGGCAGAGGGUGGUGGAAUUUCCUGUGUAGCGGUGAAAUGCGUAGAUAUAGGAAGGAACACCAGUGGCGAAGGCGACCACCUGGGCUCAUACUGACACUGAGGUGCGAAAGCGUGGGGAGCAAACAGG